UCAGGAUAAACGCUGGCGGCGUGCUAACACAUGCAAGUCGAACGGAGUGGUCUCCCGAGGAUGACGGUGCUUGCACCAGAUGACUCAUUGAAUCACUUAGUGGCGGACGGGUGAGUAACGCGUGGGAAACCUGCCCUAUACUGGGGGAUAGCAGUUGGAAACGACUGAUAAUACCGCAUAAGCGCACAGCUUCGCAUGAAGCAGUGUGAAAAACUCCGGUGGUAUAGGAUGGUCCCGCGUCUGAUUAGCUAGUUGGUGAGGUAACGGCCCACCAAGGCGACGAUCAGUAGCCGGCCUGAGAGGGUGUACGGCCACAUUGGGACUGAGACACGGCCCAAACUCCUACGGGAGGCAGCAGUGGGGAAUAUUGGACAAUGGGGGAAACCCUGAUCCAAGCGACGCCGCGUGAACGAUGAAGUAUUUCGGUAUGUAAAGUUCUAUCAGCAGGGAAGAUAAUGACGGUACCUGACUAAGAAGCACCGGCUAAAUACGUGCCAGCCGCCGC
Molecule: ribosomal RNA, 505 nt
Filed under: uncultured bacterium
Lineage: Bacteria
Description: bacterial SSU rRNA
Rfam family: Bacterial small subunit ribosomal RNA
Source: RNAcentral